RNAcentral lists this long non-coding RNA (839 nucleotides) under Homo sapiens (human). RNAcentral describes it as "non-protein coding lnc-PROB1-1:3". Lineage: Eukaryota; Metazoa; Chordata; Mammalia; Primates; Hominidae. The record is from RNAcentral.
UCCCAGAGAGCUUUGGGGGCUGGGGGAGGGGCCAUGCAACAGCCUCACAGGUGCUUCCUGCUCAAACGGCUCUCUUGCCACUUUAUUUUCCCCAGAGACUCUGCUCCUAUCCUCCCCACCUCCCCCUAACUGAGCAGCAGUCCUGAGGCCCUGCCUCCCAGUCCCUCCUUGUUCCAGAUGUGGCAAAAUCUGGCAAAGGCAGAGACCAAACUUCAUACCUCAAACUCUGGGGGGCGGCGGGAGCUGAGCGAGUUGGUCUACACGGAUGUCCUGGACCGGAGCUGCUCCCGGAACUGGCAGGACUACGGAGUUCGAGAAGUGGACCAAGUGAAACGUCUCACAGGCCCAGGACUUAGCGAGGGGCCAGAGCCAAGCAUCAGCGUGAUGGUCACAGGGGGCCCCUGGCCUACCAGGUGAUGCCCGGGGCUUGGGGAUAGGAUGAAGCUCCUGGAGCCUUGGUUUGCCCCACUGUGGGCUGGGCAGCAUCUGAGGCUCCUGCUGGGCUCCCCUAGGCUCUCCAGGACAUGUUUGCACUACUUGGGGGAGUUUGGAGAAGACCAGAUCUAUGAAGCCCACCAACAAGGCCGAGGGGCUCUGGAGGCAUUGCUAUGUGGGGGACCCCAGGGGGCCUGCUCAGAGAAGGUGUCAGCCACAAGAGAAGAGCUCUAGUCCUGGACUCUACCCUCCUCUGAAAGAAGCUGGGGCUUGCUCUGACGGUCUCCACUCCCGUCUGCAGGCAGCCAGGAGGGCAGGAAGCCCUUGCUCUGUGCUGCCAUCCUGCCUCCCUCCUCCAGCCUCAGGGCACUCGGGCCUGGGUGGGAGUCAACGCCUUCCCCUCU